Solanum dulcamara is the source of this 1159-nucleotide long non-coding RNA. RefSeq lists it as uncharacterized. The transcript is spliced from 6 exons. Lineage: Eukaryota; Viridiplantae; Streptophyta; Magnoliopsida; Solanales; Solanaceae. The record is from RefSeq and is a predicted model, not a curated record.
AAAUGUGAACUUGAGAGGACGACCAAGGACAGAAUUGUCUAGAAGCAUACUUUCUUCUCCAAAACAGAAGUAGAAACAUCCGCAAUUCUCCAAAUCCAAAACAGAAGAGCAUUCAGGAACGACCUCUUUCAGCGCCAUAGCGCUAACUGUUAGAUUUAAUUGAUACGGGGCCGCUGUGAAUUGUGGUUACGCAAGGCUGCAAUGCCUCCAACUCCGCCAGUUGGAUUCAGAAGGACGAUUCAAUGAUGCAGGCCUUCCAAUAUCGAAUUACUGCACAAGUGUGAUGCAUUUACCCCAACAAGGGUUUGUAAGCUAUGCAAUUAUUUCACUGUCCAUGGCCCUUUCCUUCUCGAGUGAAAAAUUGCUGCAAUUCAUAGGACUUCAGGGCUGAAGGAUCCAUGGAAUUCUCAAGGAAGCAAAUGUUUGUUUUGCUUAUUUCGUGGAGCAGAGCACAACUUAUCUUUCUCCCUCCCUAGAAAUACCAAUGCAAGUUUGUAGGUAUCUGUCCAGUUCGUCUGAUAGGACGUGUCUACAAGUGGCAUAAUGAGCCAUUUGAUCUUGCAUUCAUGGGAAAACUAGAGGGACUAUGGCUGGAGGCAGUGGAAAUAUUCAUUAGUGAGAGGUGUCCCUUUUCAAUUUGGAGGAAAGAUGAAUGCACUUAGUGAAGUUCUUGCCAUGGAAAUAAUAAGAAUCCAUAGGAACAUGACCAAAGUGCUGCAGGAAUGCCCCAAUAAUGACAUUCUAUGGAUUGCUUCAAUUGGAUGGCACCUCAUCGAAGUCCAUAUAUAUUAGAGAUUUUAGACAAGAAGUUAUUUUAGGCUGAACGGGAUUUUGCAUUAAACCAUAGAGCUAUUUUGUUUCUAUACUCAAGUUUGUAACUAUGACAAAUCCGUUUUGUUCAUGCCCAUCUAGUAUGUUAAAUUUUUUGAGAUUACGUGGGUCAAUGUCAUGAUCCAAUUCGAAUUUUAGUUCAAUUGAGGCCAAUUCAUUUGAGUCCAAAGUAAAUUUGGGUAGGUCAUGACUCAAUUCAAUUUUUAUUUCAACCCAUUUUAGUAUUUUCAAUGUCAACUCAUUUGACGCCCUUAUUUACCGGUGCACAAGUAGGUGUAUGUAAUGUUAGUAAUUCAAUUAGGAAAACGAGCGAGUUAUGUUAGUAAAA